GCGGGUAUAGUUUAGUGGUAAAAGUGUGAUUCG
This 33-nucleotide transfer RNA is filed under the name Vitex trifolia (simpleleaf chastetree). RNAcentral's name for it is "partial tRNA-Gly". RNAcentral also lists the same sequence under 2 other names. The record is from RNAcentral. Lineage: Eukaryota; Viridiplantae; Streptophyta; Magnoliopsida; Lamiales; Lamiaceae.